AAUAGACAUCACAGCUCACACAAGCAGCUUUCAGUUCACUACAUAGAACUGACAUACUGAUCAGUUCUUGGAGUAGAGCUGGCCACCACCGGCCACCGCAUCGUGCUGAUUCACCCAAGUUAGCGCCUUCUCGAACUGCGCCCACCUCUGCUCGAGAGUACCACUAUACCCCACCGACAUCCUCACAAGCCCAGGCGAAAUGCCAGCCAGCAUCCGGUCUCCAGGGCUCAUCUCACUGCUAGUGGUGCUGCCAGAGCAUGACAUUAGGGUUUCGUAGUAGCCCAAGCUGACUGCCAUAAGUCCAAACUGUGUGGUAUUCUGCAGGUGAUGCAUUAGCCGGUUUGCACGUUCUUCGGUGCCCAUGUCGACGCAGAGCAUGCCACCGAAGCCGUAGCUGGGGUUGGCGA
RNAcentral lists this unclassified non-coding RNA (407 nucleotides) under Hevea brasiliensis (rubber tree). Lineage: Eukaryota; Viridiplantae; Streptophyta; Magnoliopsida; Malpighiales; Euphorbiaceae. The record is from RNAcentral.